Molecule: ribosomal RNA, 420 nt
Filed under: uncultured bacterium
Lineage: Bacteria
Description: partial 16S ribosomal RNA
Rfam family: Bacterial small subunit ribosomal RNA
Source: RNAcentral
AUAUUGGACAAUGGGCGAAAGCCUGAUCCAGCCAUGCCGCGUGUGUGAAGAAGGUCUUCGGAUUGUAAAGCACUUUAAGUUGGGAGGAAGGGCAGUAAGUUAAUACCUUGCUGUUUUGACGUUACUGACAGACUAAGCACCGGCUAACUCUGUGCCAGCAGCCGCGGUAAUACAGAGGGUCCAAGCGUUAAUCGGAAUUACUGGGCGUAAAGGGCGCGUAGGUGGUUUGACAAGUUGGAAGUGAAAGCCCCGGGCUCAACCUGGGAACUGCUUUCAUAACUGCUGAGCUAGAGUACGGUAGAGGGUAGUGGAAUUUCCUGUGUAGCGGUGAAAUGCGUAGAUAUAGGAAGGAACACCAGUGGCGAAGGCGACCACCUGGGCUAAUACUGACACUGAGGUGCGAAAGCGUGGGGAGCAAAC